AUGCUGCGCUCCUUCUUGUGCGCGUUCUGGUGGCCGCCGAGCGCCUGCGACUUGAGGAACUUCUUGUUGCAGAAGAGGCAGGGGAAGAGGCGCACGUCCUUGCCGUCGACGCACGCGCCGUCGCCGCCCGCCCCGGCUCCCCCGUCAGCCUCGGCGACGGACUGCGCGGCCGGCGCCAGCGUGAGCGAGAGGUCGGCCGGCUUGGACGGCGGCAUGGGCACAGGCACAGGGGGCGAGUCCAUGUCCAUGUGGCGGCGGCGGCGUUGGAUUUGUGGGCGAUUAAACAAGGUCGUGGGAAAGGAUAUGAUUAUAUCCACAAAGGGGGAGCGAGGAAGGGAGGUCGGGGGAAGCGAGCGUGCGUGCACUGGAGUGGUAUGUAUGGUUCGGCCCAGGAGAAAGGCGAUGGUUUGUUUUUCUAUAUAUGGCAACGGACGCAGGAGAAGAAGUGGAGUAGCAGCAGCAGUUCAGCAGUUUGGCUAA
RNAcentral lists this ribosomal RNA (480 nucleotides) under Triticum aestivum (bread wheat). Its description in RNAcentral is "partial small subunit ribosomal RNA". Lineage: Eukaryota; Viridiplantae; Streptophyta; Magnoliopsida; Poales; Poaceae. The record is from RNAcentral.